CGACUGGGGAGACCGGCCAGCCAUGUUUGCUUACGUCUAAUCUGUUUUGGCAACCCGUGUGCAUUUGCGCGUGCAUGUGCGCGUGCGCGUGCGUGCAUUUGAGUGUGUGUGAUUCUUUAUCUCUGUCCCAGGAGUCUCUACGGUGUAGAACAUGUGUUCUGUGUCCAUCGCCACCCCACGCUGCUGCAUGUGUUUCAGUCUGGCUUCCUGCAGGUGUCUGCUCAGACUGCAGUCAGUGCCGAAAUGCAGGCGCUGGUAAAUUUACAGCCCCUGGCUGCAGCUGGUCAUGUUUCAGAAUCAUGGCGUGUUCUCGUCUACCUGUCUGCUAAAGCGCUUCCACCCUUCCACAUGGCCGAGUUCCCGCACCGGACAGGUUGCUGCAGUAUAUUAGCGAGUUGUUGACUGGCCGGUGAAGAGCACAUUUGUCAACAUAUUAGAGUGUGUCAACACUUGAACAUCAGACCGUCAGGCCACCCAGCCAAUCCUCCGACACAGACUGACAUCAGGCUUCAGUGCAUUAAACGUCUACACUUUCAGAGAGGGUUGCCCAUGUGGUGCUAACAGUAUGAUGUAUUGAUGUAGCCGAUAGUCAAGACCAGCCCGGCUGUGAGUUCAGGGGGCCCCGGGAUGUGUGAAGACACAGAGUCCAGGGAGAGAGAUAAAUUAGAG
This is a long non-coding RNA of Esox lucius (northern pike), 669 nucleotides long. The record is from Ensembl. Lineage: Eukaryota; Metazoa; Chordata; Actinopteri; Esociformes; Esocidae.